Molecule: ribosomal RNA, 681 nt
Filed under: uncultured bacterium
Lineage: Bacteria
Description: bacterial SSU rRNA
Rfam family: Bacterial small subunit ribosomal RNA
Source: RNAcentral
CAUGCAAGUCGAACGAGAAUCUACUGAAAGAGUUUUCGGACGAUGGAAGUAGAGGAAAGUGGCGGACGGGUGAGUAACGCGUGAGGAACCUGCCUUGAAGAGGGGGACAACAGUUGGAAACGACUGCUAAUACCGCAUGAAGCAUAGGGGUCGCAUGAUUCUUAUGCCAAAGAUUUAUCGCUUCAAGAUGGCCUCGCGUCUGAUUAGCUAGUUGGCGAGGUAACGGCCCACCAAGGCGACGAUCAGUAGCCGGACUGAGAGGUUGAACGGCCACAUUGGGACUGAGAUACGGCCCAGACUCCUACGGGAGGCAGCAGUGGGGAAUAUUGGGCAAUGGGCGCAAGCCUGACCCAGCAACGCCGCGUGAAGGAAGAAGGCUUUCGGGUUGUAAACUUCUUUUAAGAGGGAAGAGCAGAAGACGGUACCCCUAGAAUAAGCCACGGCUAACUACGUGCCAGCAGCCGCGGUAAUACGUAGGUGGCAAGCGUUGUCCGGAUUUACUGGGUGUAAAGGGCGUGCAGCCGGGUCUGCAAGUCAGAUGUGAAAUCCAUGGGCUCAACCCAUGAACUGCAUUUGAAACUGUAGAUCUUGAGUGUCGGAGGGGCAAUCGGAAUUCCUAGUGUAGCGGUGAAAUGCGUAGAUAUUAGGAGGAACACCAGUGGCGAAGGCGGAUUGCUGGAC